This is a long non-coding RNA of Rhinichthys klamathensis goyatoka, 192 nucleotides long. RefSeq lists it as uncharacterized. NCBI's taxonomy places the organism in Eukaryota, Metazoa, Chordata, Actinopteri, Cypriniformes, Leuciscidae. The transcript has 3 exons. The record is from RefSeq and is a predicted model, not a curated record.
UUUUUUCAGGUCCUUUACAGCCAAACCCUUCCGCAACAUCUACCAGUUCUACUUCUACAGAUCAUUUACUGACAGUCACUUCCACAACAUCUACCAGUCCCACUACUGAAGUUUCUUCACAGCCGGUCACUUCUACAACAUCUACCAGUUCCACUAAUUCAGGUGAAUGUGUUGCUGGACUAAGAUAUGGCU